GACGAACCGUACGAACGUUAUUCGGAAUUACUGGGCUUAAAGGGUGCGUAGGCUGCGCGGAAAGUUGGGUGUGAAAGCCCUCAGCUCAACUGAGGAACUGCAUUCAAAACUACCGUGCUCGAGGGAGACAGAGGUGAGCGGAACUCAAGGUGGAGCGGUGAAAUGCGUUGAUAUCUUGAGGAACACCGGUGGCGAAGGCGGCUCACUGGGUCUUUUCUGACGCUGAGGCACGAAAGCCAAGGUAGCAAACGGG
Molecule: ribosomal RNA, 253 nt
Filed under: uncultured Blastopirellula sp.
Lineage: Bacteria; Pseudomonadati; Planctomycetota; Planctomycetia; Pirellulales; Pirellulaceae
Description: partial 16S ribosomal RNA
Rfam family: Bacterial small subunit ribosomal RNA
Source: RNAcentral